Molecule: transfer RNA, 72 nt
Filed under: Urocitellus parryii (Arctic ground squirrel)
Lineage: Eukaryota; Metazoa; Chordata; Mammalia; Rodentia; Sciuridae
Also listed under: 2 other names
Description: Spermophilus parryii (Arctic ground squirrel) tRNA
Rfam family: tRNA
About the family: Transfer RNA (tRNA) molecules are approximately 80 nucleotides in length. Their secondary structure includes four short double-helical elements and three loops (D, anti-codon, and T loops).
Source: Rfam by way of RNAcentral
GGGAUUGUAGCUCAGAGGUAGAGCACUUGCCUAGCAUGUACAAGGCCCUGGGUUCAAUCCCCAGCAUCCCCC